CACUGAAAAAAGUGAUUUUGUCGAGUGGUAAAUAUAAUCUGUGGAAACCAUAUAAAAUGUACAUGAUUAUUGCAGGCAGCCAACGAAUCCUAAAGUAAUGGGUAAAUUCUACAUAUGCUACCCAUUCAUCAACAGUAAGAAUCAUCACAUAGAAAAAUGGAGUAAAAUAUACCCCCAAAACGUGAGUUUUUUGCUUUAAAUUGCGCAUGCGUAGGCCCGCGGUUUCUUUUUGAGUGAGUGUGGGCGACGCUGGAUCCUCUCUCUGGCUGCCAUCGAACAGCAGAAGUGAAGUUGAUAGCCUACAGUGUCAACAGAAGUGAAAACGGAUCAAAGAAAUUGAAGUGGUCAGCCUCAGCCCCUCUGUGGGUGUGUUUAUUCUAAAGUUGCCAGCAUUAUUCACUGAAGCUCAGAUCAAGGAGGAGUUUAGACGCAUCACAACAUAUUCCUUGGAGGAGACAUUCACACGGAAGCUUGAUGAGUACUCACGAGGUCUUUUGCGGCUAAUGCGCGCCAAAGGAGAAGUAGCUGGUUGCAAGAUGUGUCCUCUGCUGGACACUUUAAAUGACACACAGAACAUUGAGAAACAUGAGAUGCUGUUGUCUGCUGCCUCAUUAAAGACAAGACUACCUUGGUGAAAAUCAAGAAGAUCUUUUCCAUUACUACCAGGAAUGUGAGGACUACACAGACAAAAACAUGAAGGUGAUUGUGAAGCACAAUGUCAUGGCUGAGGAGGAUCCAGAUUUGUCUAUUGUGAUCGAGGGAAACCAAGUAAUGGAAUCACAGAGUUUAGAUACAACAAAAUGUGAUUGGACUUCUUCCAGUACUGCUCUGAUCUCCUCGCUUCUAGUUUCAUUUUCUACUCUCUCCUCCUCCUAAAACAGCAAUGUUUUAUUAUCCAACAUUAUUGAAACAACAUUUGAUAGUCCAGUGAGUUAACAUGUUCAUUACUUGAAAUGUUGUGUAAAGUUAUUGUGCUGCACUGUAUUUUGAGUGUUUCAUAUGAAUUUUUGGAUUAAAAACAUUGAUCUGAUGAA
Molecule: non-coding RNA, 1034 nt
Organism: Pimephales promelas (fathead minnow)
Lineage: Eukaryota; Metazoa; Chordata; Actinopteri; Cypriniformes; Leuciscidae
Source: RefSeq, a predicted model, not a curated record